Molecule: non-coding RNA, 29 nt
Filed under: Cricetulus griseus (Chinese hamster)
Lineage: Eukaryota; Metazoa; Chordata; Mammalia; Rodentia; Cricetidae
Source: RNAcentral
UCUGUAGAUACAUUGAUCGCAUUCAUAUU